UUCACUUUUUAAAUGAAAACAUGGACAGUUGGAACGAUACAGAGAAGAUUAGCAUGGCCCAUGUGCAAGGAUGACAUGCAAAUUUCAUGAAGCAUUCCAUGGACAG
Small nuclear RNA from Hemicordylus capensis (graceful crag lizard), 106 nucleotides. The record is from RefSeq and is a predicted model, not a curated record. NCBI's taxonomy places the organism in Eukaryota, Metazoa, Chordata, Lepidosauria, Squamata, Cordylidae.